This 253-nucleotide ribosomal RNA is filed under the name uncultured bacterium. RNAcentral describes it as "partial 16S ribosomal RNA". It matches the Rfam family "Bacterial small subunit ribosomal RNA", at positions 524 to 776 of the family's 1533-position model. The record is from RNAcentral.
UACAGAGGGGGCAAGCGUUGUUCGGAAUUACUGGGCGUAAAGGGCGCGUAGGCGGCCGCCUAAGUCAGACGUGAAAUCCCUCGGCUCAACCGGGGAACUGCGUCUGAUACUGGGUGGCUUGAAUCCGGGAGAGGGAUGCGGAAUUCCAGGUGUAGCGGUGAAAUGCGUAGAUAUCAGGAGGAACACCGGUGGCGAAGGCGCACAUCUGGCCCGAUACUGACGCUGAGGAGCGAAAGCGUGGGGAGCGAACAGG